ACUUAAGUAGUUUAAUAAAAAUAUCGAUUUGUGGUGUCGGUGAUAUAAAUUAUUUAUCUUAGGUU
This 65-nucleotide transfer RNA is filed under the name Asiablatta kyotensis. Its description in RNAcentral is "tRNA-His". Lineage: Eukaryota; Metazoa; Arthropoda; Insecta; Blattodea; Blattellidae. The record is from RNAcentral.